This 253-nucleotide ribosomal RNA is filed under the name uncultured bacterium. RNAcentral describes it as "partial 16S ribosomal RNA". It matches the Rfam family "Bacterial small subunit ribosomal RNA", at positions 524 to 776 of the family's 1533-position model. The record is from RNAcentral.
UACGUAGGGGGCAAGCGUUGUCCGGAUUUAUUGGGCGUAAAGAGCGUGUAGGCGGCCAGGUAGGUCCGUUGUGAAAACUCGAGGCUCAACCUCGAGACGUCGAUGGAAACCAUCUGGCUAGAGUCCGGAAGAGGAGAGUGGAAUUCCUGGUGUAGCGGUGAAGUGCGCAGAUAUCAGGAAGAACACCCGUGGCGAAGGCGGCUCUCUGGGACGGUACUGACGCUGAGACGCGAAAGCGUGGGGAGCGAACAGG